AGUGAACGCUGGCGGUAGGCCUAACACAUGCAAGUCGAACGGCAGCACAGUAAGAGCUUGCUCUUACGGGUGGCGAGUGGCGGACGGGUGAGGAAUACAUCGGAAUCUACUUUUUCGUGGGGGAUAACGUAGGGAAACUUACGCUAAUACCGCAUACGACCUACGGGUGAAAGCAGGGGAUCUUCGGACCUUUCGCGAUUGAAUGAGCCGAUGUCGGAUUAGCUAGUUGGCGGGGUAAAGGCCCACCAAGGCGACGAUCCGUAGCUGGUCUGAGAGGAUGAUCCGCCACACUGGAACUGAGACACGGUCCAGACUCCUACGGGAGGCAGCAGUGGGGAAUAUUGGACAAUGGGCGCAAGCCUGAUCCAGCCAUACCGCGUGGGUGAAGAAGGCCUUCGGGUUGUAAAGCCCUUUUGUUGGGAAAGAAAAGCAGCAGGUUAAUACCCCGCUGUUCUGACGGUACCCAAAGAAUAAGCACCGGCUAACUUCGUG
Molecule: ribosomal RNA, 492 nt
Filed under: uncultured bacterium
Lineage: Bacteria
Description: partial 16S ribosomal RNA
Rfam family: Bacterial small subunit ribosomal RNA
Source: RNAcentral